Molecule: long non-coding RNA, 2808 nt
Filed under: Ricinus communis (castor bean)
Lineage: Eukaryota; Viridiplantae; Streptophyta; Magnoliopsida; Malpighiales; Euphorbiaceae
Description: long non-coding RNA (RCOM_LNC001314)
Source: RNAcentral
AAAUCAACUUCUGAUUAUUUAAAACAGAAAAAAGAAAAGAAAAGAAAAGAACAUAUUGCUUUUUCAUAUCAUCCUUAUUCUUUCACAGAUUGGUUAAAUUAGAUUGAUCCAAGUCCUUCCUUUGUCCACCCAUUAAUUUCUUCUUCUUCUUCUUCUUCUUCUUUUUUUUACUGUAACACUUAUGUGUGGUAGAAUUGAUGAAACUUAUAAAUUCUCAGUUCUUAAUAAGGAGGCCUCUUGAAGACAUGAGACAUGACAUUCCGUUUGUCCUAUAGAAAACAUUUCUGUACUUAAUUUGUUUUCUCUGCAGAUAACAUCAAGUGGAUCUUAUUAUGUAAUAUUAUCAACAUAAUGAACUAGUUGUGGCUGAGGUGCAGAAAAUCAAUUAAUCAAGCAGAUUAAAAAUUCAAGACUUGGCUACAAAGAUGGUAGUUUUCAUUUCUUUCCAUGAAGUUUGUGCUUAUCAUUAUAUUCAUGCACUAAAUAAUGCAGGAAAGAAAAUGAUAGCAGUGUAGAGAGUUGUACCUUCUUUAAAGAUCCUUCAAUCUUAUGUAUACAAAUCAAGAAAAGAAACCAAUGUCCUGCUAUCACAACUUCCAUGCAUGAGAGUUUGGAAACAGAAAGUUUCUUGAAACAAGCUUAUUAGUUCUUAUUUGUUGGAGUACUAGAAGGCCAUUAUUCCAAGAAUGUCAUGCAUACAUUCUGCAUUACUUUCUUUCUUUCCUUUUUUUUUUUCUCUUUAUAAUUUUCUUUUUCAGAUUUUAUAGUCUUUCAUGCAACCACUAUAAUUGAGUGGAAUUCUGCAAAAUAUAUGUUCAGGUCAGAUGACAAAGUACUGUUGCAGAAUUCUCAGUCCUCUGUAACCUGUAACUUGUAACAGAUGUUCAUGUGGUGAGUCAAUAGAGCAAACUUUGCAACAGAUGUUGUCAUAACUAAUUAAAUAUAAUAUAAUAGAGGAUGAAAUGCAUUAGGUGGCUCAAAUGAUGGCAUACUUGCAAAUAAACAAAUAAUCAAUUAAUUAUUACAACAUUUUCUAUACUUAUUUCUAAAUCCAAUUAGUCCCAUCAAACUUAUGAUGCCUAACAAGCAAAAGAGGAUCCUGAAAGCAGAAAAUGGUGCAAUGGAUGAGACAACAACAUAUACACAAAAUAACUAUUGAUUACAUCUUGGAUAGAACAUUAUUAGGAUAGGAGAUGUAGUAGUAGUACUACUGGAUGAGAUAGCAAAGCCAGACAAGUUAACAAACAUUUAUGAGAUCCAGCUAAGGUACUCUGUAUUAUUAUCACAUUCCUGUGGACACUAGUCAUGGUGGAGCUCCACCACCAUGAAAUUCAGCAUCAAAAAAAGGUUUUUAAAAAGAUGGGUUAGCAACACCUCUCUUUGCAAUACGUCCAAAAGGGUUCUUGGCCCAGAAAUCUAUAUAUUGUGAAGAAGAAGAAAAAAUAUGAAUCUUUAAUAGAAAAAUGUAGAGUUAAAAUAGACCUUUUGGGUCCCCUUUGUUUGGAAUUGUUGACAGAGAUAAAGUUAAUCUUGAAAUGAACUUCCAAAGAAAAUUCAUAGAUCUAGCUAGUAAACCUAAUAUCAAUUGAACACAAAAAGUGAAACGGAAUCAUUGCUUAGGGCUUUAAUAAAAAUUUUGAUAUAGAAAAUAGCAUAAAAGUCAAAGAACCUUUACUAAUAGCAUUCUGUUUCUACAUUUCAAGCAAGGUCCAUUAUUGAAAAGUGUGGCAUUUUAGAUCUUUGAAUAGAGGUAUAGAAUUGAGAAGUGGUAACAAUUUUCUAUAAAGGAAUUGUACCUACUGAACGAAGGGUAUGUAGCAGUCACUUUUUCCUUUUAGUCUGGUUGAAUUACUUAAUUGUUAAAUUAUAAUUAUUAAGCAAUAAUGUAUCCACCAAUAUGUCUUACAUAGAAAUGGGUAGGUCCUUUUUGCACUGAUAUUCAAUUCCAUUGAGUAAAAUAAUGCUUGGAUGCUAAAGUAUUACUUACCUGAAAAUAGCCAAUAAGUGUAAAAGUGAAGUUGAGGAAACCCUUGUUUCAACAAGGAAAUGAACUACUAGGAACAGGAGUCAUGAUUUGGUGCUGAUAUAUUUGUCAAAGCAUCUCUAUAUACAAAGACAUGAUGAAGGAAUGACUUGCCUAAAUCUCAAACAAAAAGCCCUACAUAAGUAUGUACAUAAAAAAAUAUCAGAAAACCAAACAGAACCAGCACAUUAAGUUGUACAUAAUGUAGUGUCCUUUACCAAAAUGGAAAUAUGUAUAUAUACACACACACUGUGUCAAGCUUUUAUAAUUUUGGCACUAAACUGAAUAGUAACAAAGACUCAACCAGGCUUGCCAGCUUUUUUUUCUUUUUUGGUGAGCUGCUUGAUUUAUUUGUCCUCAAAUUCUAUUCUGACUGAUUCAACAUUAUUUAAGAUUGAAAUGUACCAGAAUUCAAUUCUUAUCAAUCUUCCAAUCCGAAAAAAUUAUAACAAGGUUAUGAUGAAAACAACUAAAUCCUGAAUUAAGCAAUGAAUGUUUAGGACAAUAACAAUAUAAAACCUUGCAUCUUCCUUCUUAUGUUUCGUAUAUAAGGAACUUCAAAAGGGAUCAAACACGUUCAGACAAGCAUCAGAGCCAGAAAUUCAUCAAGAUACAGUUAUGGAUUAACUUGCCUGGCAAAGGGAGACAGAAGUAGUAAUUUAUCAAACAAUAAUAUUGGUCAGAAUUGAGCAAUUUAUCACAUGUAAUCGUAAUGUAAAGGCUUUGAGAUGAUUUGGUGUAGUGUAACUAAAAGUCUUCUUUUCCGAGCUUAAAUUGGAGACUAU